GGUGGGAGCGGGCUUGCUCGCGAUGCAGUUGACUCGGUAUGCCUGAAUUACCGAUUCGAUCCCAUCGCGAGCAAGCUCGCUCCCACA
Molecule: unclassified non-coding RNA, 87 nt
Filed under: Pseudomonas psychrophila
Lineage: Bacteria; Pseudomonadati; Pseudomonadota; Gammaproteobacteria; Pseudomonadales; Pseudomonadaceae
Source: RNAcentral